AUCGAACGCUGGCGGCAGGCCUAACACAUGCAAGUCGAGCGGAGCGGCGGGCGGGUGCGUAACGCCUAGGAAUCUGCCUGGUAGUGGGGGUUAAAGUCCGGAAAGGGGCGCUAAUACCGCAUACUAUCAGAUGAGCCUAGGUCGCGUGCGCUAGGUGGUGGGGUAAAGGCCUACCAAGGCGGCGAUCCGUAACUGGUCUGAGAGGAUGAUCAGUCACCCGGGAAUUGAGACACGGUCCAGGCUCCUACGGGAGGCAGCAGUGGUGAAUAUUGGACAAUGGGCGAGAGCCUGAUCCAGCCAUGCCGCGUGUGUGAAGAAGGUCUUCGGAUUGUAAAGAACUUUAAGUUGGGAGGCGUUACCAACAGAAUAAGCACCGGCUAACUUCGUGCCAGCAGCCGCGGUAAUUC
This 407-nucleotide ribosomal RNA is filed under the name uncultured bacterium. Its description in RNAcentral is "partial 16S ribosomal RNA". It matches the Rfam family "Bacterial small subunit ribosomal RNA", at positions 30 to 526 of the family's 1533-position model. The record is from RNAcentral.